RNAcentral lists this ribosomal RNA (211 nucleotides) under Fructilactobacillus sanfranciscensis. RNAcentral's name for it is "Lactobacillus sanfranciscensis partial 23S ribosomal RNA". It matches the Rfam family "Bacterial large subunit ribosomal RNA", at positions 1 to 210 of the family's 2925-position model. Lineage: Bacteria; Bacillati; Bacillota; Bacilli; Lactobacillales; Lactobacillaceae. The record is from RNAcentral.
GGUUAAGUUAAUAAGGGCGCAUGGUGAAUGCCUUGGUACUAGGAGCCGAUGAAGGACGCAACUAACUGCGAUAAGCUUCGGGGAGCUGUACGUAAGCUUUGAUCCGGAGAUUUCCGAAUGAGGAAACUCGACCAGUGUUAUGACUGGUCACUGCAUAGUGAAUACAUAGCUAUGCAGAGGCAGACGUGGGGAACUGAAACAUCUAAGUACC